This 627-nucleotide ribosomal RNA is filed under the name Escherichia coli. RNAcentral's name for it is "partial 23S ribosomal RNA". It matches the Rfam family "Bacterial large subunit ribosomal RNA", at positions 1261 to 1873 of the family's 2925-position model. The record is from RNAcentral. Lineage: Bacteria; Pseudomonadati; Pseudomonadota; Gammaproteobacteria; Enterobacterales; Enterobacteriaceae.
CUGUGAGGCAUGCUGGAGGUAUCAGAAGUGCGAAUGCUGACAUAAGUAACGAUAAAGCGGGUGAAAAGCCCGCUCGCCGGAAGACCAAGGGUUCCUGUCCAACGUUAAUCGGGGCAGGGUGAGUCGACCCCUAAGGCGAGGCCGAAAGGCGUAGUCGAUGGGAAACAGGUUAAUAUUCCUGUACUUGGUGUUACUGCGAAGGGGGGACGGAGAAGGCUAUGUUGGCCGGGCGACGGUUGUCCCGGUUUAAGCGUGUAGGCUGGUUUUCCAGGCAAAUCCGGAAAAUCAAGGCUGAGGCGUGAUGACGAGGCACUACGGUGCUGAAGCAACAAAUGCCCUGCUUCCAGGAAAAGCCUCUAAGCAUCAGGUAACAUUAAAUCGUACCCCAAACCGACACAGGUGGUCAGGUAGAGAAUACCAAGGCGCUUGAGAGAACUCGGGUGAAGGAACUAGGCAAAAUGGUGCCGUAACUUCGGGAGAAGGCACGCUGAUAUGUAGGUGAAGUCCCUCGCGGAUGGAGCUGAAAUCAGUCGAAGAUACCAGCUGGCUGCAACUGUUUAUUAAAAACACAGCACUGUGCAAACACGAAAGUGGACGUAUACGGUGUGACGCCUGCCCGGUGCCGGA